Gopherus agassizii (Agassiz's desert tortoise) is the source of this 1995-nucleotide long non-coding RNA. The record is from Ensembl. NCBI's taxonomy places the organism in Eukaryota, Metazoa, Chordata, Testudines, Testudinidae.
GGGCAACAUGACCACAGCCAAGCCAAAAAGACUCAAGUUUUCCGAAGAAGAGAAGUUCCUCAUCCUUGAAGAAUUCAGCCUGCGCAAGGACAUCCUGAUCCCCAAGAGCGGGCGCUACAGGAACACGAUGGACCGUCAGCGAGCGUGGGAAGAGAUCACUGCUGCCGUCAACUCCCUCAGCCCACUCGUGCGGCGCACGCCUGACGAGAUCCGCAAGAAGUGGCAUAACAUGGUCAUUGAUGCCCGCAAGGAGCUGACCACGGUGAAACACCCCUUGUUGAGGCAGCGGCCCCAGGAGAGGCUCUUCCACAACAUCUUUGCUCUCUUCAAUAAGACAGGGCCAGAGCUGGCAGAACCAUUGCUUCUGGGCCCUGGGUUCAUAAGGAAGCCGUCCAGCAGCCCGGCUGGAACUGCAGUGCCUCUCUGUGCAGCGGGGGGGAUGCGGGAGUCUUCGUCAGACUUAUUCCUCCACAGCCAGAAUGAUGGACUUCAGCUGAGCCAGGGGAACAAACUGCUCUGCAAAACGGAAGUCCUUUUGGACGCAGACGAAGAAAUGGCACCAGGGACUGGCUAUCCAGGAAAGAGCUUCAUCCAUGCGCCAGGGGACCCGCAGCCCAGCGAUUUGUGCUUGGGUGGAUCUCAAGGGAGUGUGGAAAAGAAACUGUUGGGCCCCAGUAAGGAUCCUCCUCUGACUUGUACGCCCGUAGCUGAGACACACCCUGUGCCAGUUCCCAGAACUACCUCACCACUUAGCCAUGGACCUGAGGUGCUUGCUCCUGGCAGGACUCCGGCGCCUCUGAACUGCUCCCCAGACUUUGCACUGGCCUACAAGAUCAAGUGCCCUUUGAGCCCUGUAUUCGAAUGGCCUUGCCUAGGGGUCAUCUCAAGCCCAGUCACACACAGCAGCAGGACUGACAGCCCCAGCUCCGAAGGCAUCCACACAGCAAUGGAUGAUAAUGCAAGCGCAUCUGUGACCGAAGAUUCGCUGCCCAGCCAGAGGGGUUGUGUCGAGCCAGCCAAGGAGCUUUGGGAGAAGCACAGCCGGCUGCACACCGAGAUCCUGGAGCUGCAGAAAGAGACCUUGCAGCUGCAGAAGGAGAAGAUCAUGCUGGAGAAAGAGAAACUCUUACUGGAAAUUGUCAAACUGCGGCGAGAGCUGGACACGUGACCAGCUGCCAGGGAAUGAUCUGCCCCUCCCCAGUCUGUGGAGCUCAGAGCCCAGUUCAGACCCACUCGGCUCCAAGUACACUGUUCCCUGGAGCUUCAUGUGCUUGAGUGAAACAAAAAUUGCUUGCUGCUCUGAAUGAGCAGGAGAGGACUGAGCUGGUGCUGAACUUCACAGACGCGAAUGGCAGGGACUCUGGUUCCUGUGCAGAAAAGACCAGAGAAAUCACUCCACUGAUGCUCUUAACCUGCAGUGAGAGCCACACCCAGGACAUUGGGGGGCACCCAUUGUGGCUUUGGUGGCAUAGCAUAAAACUCGCAUAUGUUUGGGAGAGCCACAGCACCAAGAAAAUAACUCUGCGUGGGCCUACGCGGGGUCCCUUCCUUAGCAGAGUGCCAGAGCAGUCCAUGGGCCAGGAAAGACGGUCGUAUCUGUGUGUGGUACAGCAGCACAGCGCAUCACCCCGGGCUUCACCUGCUGCUUCGCGCGUUGCAGAGAAGACUGAACAUGUAGCCACACCAUUGCUUCCUAUCCCUGCGGGUCCUUCCCCCUUUAGCCGCUAAGCCACGAGCAGGGAAUUUAAACCAGUAUCUUCUUUUUUCCACGUUGAUAUAAACUCACUAAGUAGAGAAGCAGCAUAGCAGCCCACUCCCUGUCCAAGCCAGGAUCCAGCCCUUUACUACGGUGUAAGGAGCUACAGAGCAAAGCCAAAGGGUCUUUCUCGUGGCAGACUCCUGGUGAUAAGAGCAGGAGUUUUACCUGAGUAAGAACUUAGGGUUUGGCCUUUAAUGUUUACGUAUUACGUUAAAAUAAACAAGGGAGCACCGCCA